GUGGAAAUGAUGAUUAUUUCCCCAGAUGAUCGAAAUUGAUUAUACUGAGCGCAUUUAAUUAUAUUCUCUAUUACGUUAUAGAGAAUCCAAGCCAGAAAUCUGAUCCUGUCUCUGUUUUUAUUGAUAAAAAUAUAAGUUCCUCUGUUGAUGAUUCAAAUAAAAACUUUCGUUCUUCCGAGGAUGAUAUCCGUCUAUGCGGAAACGAUUAUUGGAGACCUGAACUGAAGAGGC
This 231-nucleotide long non-coding RNA is filed under the name Helianthus annuus (common sunflower). RNAcentral describes it as "hypothetical non coding rna". The stretch from base 1 to 108 matches the Rfam family "Small nucleolar RNA Z103". The record is from RNAcentral. Lineage: Eukaryota; Viridiplantae; Streptophyta; Magnoliopsida; Asterales; Asteraceae.